GGCUGGUCCAAUUAGUUAUAAAUACAACAGGUGUUUAUAACUGAUUGAUCACAGUAAGUGAUAGAUUUCUUUGUCCCCCUCCACUCCUACUGCUUCACUCAACUUGCCUAAG
Molecule: non-coding RNA, 112 nt
Filed under: Saimiri boliviensis boliviensis (Bolivian squirrel monkey)
Lineage: Eukaryota; Metazoa; Chordata; Mammalia; Primates; Cebidae
Source: RNAcentral